This 1806-nucleotide long non-coding RNA is filed under the name Marmota monax (woodchuck). The record is from RNAcentral. Lineage: Eukaryota; Metazoa; Chordata; Mammalia; Rodentia; Sciuridae.
GUAUUCAGGUCUACAAUUUCAGGUACAAAUUUUAUGCAUACCUUUCUUCUGCAAGUGAGAAGCAUCUCAUGGUCAUUUUCACCUUCUAUAGGUGUUUUACUUAUGGACACAUAAUAACUAAGUUUAUGGGCUUUCAGAAACAUGAAGGCCAAGAUAAGAAAUGUAACUUCCCAUGGAGACAUCAUGCUGAAGACAAAAGUUCCAAGGAUAAAAAUUGAUUCACUUAUUAUACACUAUGUUUCAUAAUUUUGUGAAUUUCUGGUUUCUCCACAGGACUGGAACAUCAUAUUUUAGGAACGGUAUCUGUUUUUGUUCACUAAAUCUCUAAAGCCUACCACAUUAAAACUUGUUGCAAAUACAGAAUGAACUUACAAAAUGCAUUUAAAAAUCCUUUAAAUAAAUAAAUUAUGAAAUAAAAAUACUAAUAAAUCAAUGGAACAUCUAGAAAGUCAUGACAUCUGAAAGCAGGAAAAUAGUAGUGAAAUGACAACAUUUUACUGGAUAAAGAGCAACUCUCCUUUAUUGUGCAUUUCCCUUUUGUACAUACUCUUCAUUUAUUUCACUUAGUAUAUUUAGGGUUAAUUAAUGCUACAAUUUUGACUCAUGGUUUUCUUACUUUGUAAUUCUAUAAAUUUUCUGGAGCGUUAUUGUGGGAUUUAGUUAAGCAAUAGAAAACAGUUUGGUACUUGUUAGGUUUCAUAUCAAGAUUUGUUUGAAAAUAUCAGAAAUGUUUAGUAUAGGUGUCAUUAUAUUUUUAUUGAAGCAAAAUUUCCUGGGUACUCCAGUUGAUGUCCUGUGAACUGUAGGUGCUUCCAUUCCAGAUGAUGGGAAUCAGCAUUACCACCAGUCUCUGUGAGCACUGGGCAGUUUUGUGCAUUUUCUUCACACAGGUUUGCUAAGGGGUGCUCUGCUGAAUACUCAAGGAUGGCCUUCAGCUGAUACCUGUAGCUGUCUCUCUGUCAUUUUUUUUCCCCUGUCAAAUGCUUUGUUCUUUGGAUUUAGCCACUUUCCAAUCUCCAGACUCAUAGUUCUAUCUCCUCCACACAAGGAGACCAUUGGGAUCCAUCUGGGCUUUUUCCAAUCAGGUUUUGGCCUGGAAACUAUCUCUAAAUGCUAAGCAAUAAACUGGGUUAAUUAAACUAACACUUUACCUGACAGUUCUAACAAGUCUCAUUGUGACUUUUUUUUUUUUAACUUAAGUCUGAGGUAGCAUUCACUUCUUAUUUUAUUUUAUGUUUUUUGGUACCAGGAAUUGAAUUUACAGGCACUCAAUCACUGUGCCACAUCCCCACCCCUAUUUUGCAUUUUAUUGAAAGAUAGGGUCUCACUGCAUUGCUUAGCGCCUCACUUUUGCUGAGGCUUGCUUUGAACUUGUGAUCCUCCUGCUUCAGCUUCCCAAGCCGCUGGAUCACAGGCUUAUGCGCAGCAUUCACUUUCAUUGCCUAAUGUACCAUAUCUGAAACACUAUUGUCUUAUAAGUUUUGUUCAUUUUCUUUCUUGUCUCUGAACCAAAUAAAUCAGUUGUUGAUACUUCAUCUUGAUUAGAGGAAGAAGCCUCUCAGGAGAAUUCAUUUGGAACCAGAGAACAAAAGUCCUUUUUUUUCUUUUACUUUAUUUAGUUUUUAAAUCUUGUCCUAAUCAUUUUUUAAAAGCAGUAAACUCUUGCUGAAAAAUAAAGGAGAGUAUAUGAAUGAGAAAAAAAAAGAAUGCUUCAUAAUUCAACAACAAAAACAGCAAAUUUGAAUCUGACACACUGGUGAGUUAGGGCUAUGUUGAAGGAUUAAUCUCUGAUAUCCAGAAAGUUUC